RNAcentral lists this ribosomal RNA (1002 nucleotides) under Bacillus aerius. Its description in RNAcentral is "bacterial SSU rRNA". It matches the Rfam family "Bacterial small subunit ribosomal RNA", at positions 41 to 1033 of the family's 1533-position model. Lineage: Bacteria; Bacillati; Bacillota; Bacilli; Caryophanales; Bacillaceae. The record is from RNAcentral.
GGCGUGCUAUACUUGCAAGUCGAGCGGACAGAAGGGAGCUUGCUUCCGGAUGUAGCGGCGGACGGGUGAGUAACACGUGGUUAACCUGCCUGUAAGACUGGGAUAACUCCGGGAAACGGGAGCUAAUACCGGAUAGUUCCCUGAACCGCAUGGUUCAAGGAUGAAAGACGGUUUCGGCUGUCACUUACAGAUGGACCGCGGCGCAUAGCUAGUUGGUGAGGUAACGGCUCACCAGGCGACGAUGCGUAGCCGACCUGAGAGGGUGAUCGGCCACACUGGGACUGAGACACGGCCCAGACUCCUACGGGAGGCAGCAGUAGGGAAUCUUCCGCAAUGGACGAAAGUCUGACGGAGCAACGCCGCGUGAGUGAUGAAGGUUUCGGAUCGUAAAGCUCUGUUGUUAGGGAAGAACAAGUGCAAGAGUAACUGCUUGCACCUUGACGGUACCUAACCAGAAAGCCACGGCUAACUACGUGCCAGCAGCCGCGGUAAUACGUAGGUGGCAGCGUUGUCCGGAAUUAUUGGGCGUAAAGGGCUCGCAGGCGGUUUCUUAAGUCUGAUGUGAAAGCCCCCGGCUCAACCGGGGAGGGUCAUUGGAAACUGGGAAACUUGAGUGCAGAAGAGGAGAGUGGAAUUCCACGUGUAGCGGUGAAAUGCGUAGAGAUGUGGAGGAACACCAGUGGCGAAGGCGACUCUCUGGUCUGUAACUGACGCUGAGGAGCGAAAGCGUGGGGAGCGAACAGGAUUAGAUACCCUGGUAGUCCACGCCGUAAACGAUGAGUGCUAAGUGUUAGGGGGUUUCCGCCCCUUAGUGCUGCAGCUAACGCAUUAAGCACUCCGCCUGGGGAGUACGGUCGCAAGACUGAAACUCAAAGGAAUUGACGGGGGCCCGCACAAGCGGUGGAGCAUGUGGUUUAAUUCGAAGCAACGCGAAGAACCUUACCAGGUCUUGACAUCCUCUGACAACCCUAGAGAUAGGGCUUUCCCUUCGGGGACAGAGUG